GGUUACACAGUGCAGCCCAUCGCCACGGUUCCAGCUCCAAUCGACUUAACAAAUGACAUUAAUUACAACGUGACGUUCACUGUUAGUCUGCCAAUUGAAGAAAUUCAAAGAAACCCUUCAGAAACAGCAACCAUCAUUGCAGCUGAGAUCAUAGACCUGUUCGAAAACAGCAUAAUCAAUGCAACAUUCUUAACAUGUGUUGUAAAAUCAUUCAGGUAACUCACAGUCAUUUUCCUAUCAAUUAUGAAACUUGCAUUCCUUUAAACGAGGGGAACUCUGUCCUUGUUCCAUCUGGAUGAGGCACAUGCGAGAGCAGAA
Leucoraja erinaceus (little skate) is the source of this 318-nucleotide long non-coding RNA. RefSeq lists it as uncharacterized. The record is from RefSeq and is a predicted model, not a curated record. Lineage: Eukaryota; Metazoa; Chordata; Chondrichthyes; Rajiformes; Rajidae. The transcript is spliced from 3 exons.